AUAUAUAUUAUUUACAACAUACUGAGCAAUAAUUUGUAACAUAGUACUUUACUUUCAACAGAACAUCGUGAAAUACUUGUUAAAGGAGGCAAAAGAGAAGAAACAAUCAGCUUUUGAAAUGGGCUGGACAGUCUCAUAUAAAGAGGAAAUCCCACAACAAACCAAUGAGAACGACUGUGGCGUGUUUAUAUUGGAGUAUUCCAGAUGCCUUGCUCUGUCUGAACCUUUGCAUUUUUUGCAAAAAGACGUACCAAAGAUACGAAAAAGGAUCUACAAAGAGCUCUGUGACUGUAUGCUACAUAAAAAAGGGUGAAAUGUGUCCAAUCAUUCAUGGUCAUGUGACCAUGUACAAACAAACCUUGCUGUCCUCUGUGCUUGAAGUCUUCUCUUGAAGGUAGCUUUUGUGAGUUAAGUUACAAGUUUAAAAUGCUUGAAUGUGUGUAUGAAAAUUUGUAUAUUAGUUAAUAAAACACAUUUGCUUUACUUCAGUAGAUGAUUUAAUCAAUUGUAACCAAAAACGGAUAUCAUUUACAAAUUGUGUUAUUUCUAACACACAUGCGCACUGAAUAAUAUAUCCUCUUGUGACACUGCACACACAGCACACAGAAUGUGUACUCACUCACUCCUAUUAAUCUCCACAAUGUUCCACAUUAAAUGUGGAGCUGAAGGCACAUGUCGAACUAUGACUGUGAGUGAAGUCUUACAGUUGAGAUAAAGGUGUCCACACCCCCAAUGUAUGUUACAAAGUGUAAACCAUAACAUAAGCACUAAUUUUUUGUAAUCAUAUCAAGACAUCCCGUUUCAACAAGAUAUGCAUCUGCUAACAGUUUAUCGCUGCACAAAUACAAGUCUCUAGUCAACAUUGACACCCCACUCCACCUCUGGGCCAUCAUCGAGGCGUAUGACGAGGUAGGACACAAGUUGAAACAGGUUCUGCCACAAUCCCAGGAACAGAUACAAAUAGAAGUCACUGAUGUCGAUUUGGCAGUGCACACCUGUGUAGUUCACGUCGCACACACACUCAUAGCUGUUGAUGUAGUUAACACAAAAUCCUCCAUGCAUGCACGGAUCAGAGGCACAUUCAUCCACAUCCUUCUCGCACCUGAAAUA
This 1110-nucleotide long non-coding RNA is filed under the name Neogobius melanostomus (round goby). RNAcentral describes it as "lncRNA (ENSNMLG00000002899.1)". Lineage: Eukaryota; Metazoa; Chordata; Actinopteri; Gobiiformes; Gobiidae. The record is from RNAcentral.